ACCCCUUCUUCUCCGAUCGACUUUCACUUCCUUCUAUGUGCAAACCCUAAUCAAACAUAACACAUUUGAAAUAGUAAUAUCUUCUUUCAUUUUCUCCCCUACUACUCUCUGUAAAACCUAGCAGCCGCCACCACUAGAAACAUGGAAAAUCCCCCAAAAUUUUGAAGUACCCCGCUCACUCCUCUCAAUAUCUCUUGCGCUUUCGUAUUUAUAGCCAGAGUUGGAGAGCGAAAAGAAGAAAGAAGAAAGAAAUGAUGUGAGGGUGUGAGGUGGCGUUCAAAGGUUGUCAAGGGGCUGUGAGGAGCUAUAGGGCUCAAGUUCGAGGUUGAAGAUUAGAAACCGAAGGUUGAAGAUCAGAUUUGGGAUUAGAUGAGUCGCUGGUACAACUGACGUCGUCGUGGUGUAGGUCAGAUGAGUCGCCGGAGUCCAGGCCAAGUAACAGUGUCGCUGGAGUUUCGGGAAGCUAACGAUGUCAUCAAUUCGAGUGCAAGUGAUGUGCCGAUUAUUGAUUUUGGAUCAAUUACUAACUGUUUGCCAUUUUCUUUCUAGAAAAUCAAUGUAGUGUCUGCUUCUUAAUCUUGUUCUCUAUGAGUACCAUUGUUACCGUCUCUGGUAAAAACAUCUAACCAUAUGCCAGAUUCGUUGAUUCAGGCUACAAAAGUACCUGUUAAAGAGUAUGAGUUUGAUGAAAAGAAGAUGGCAAAUGUGCAGUCUCAUCUGGAAAAAUUGGUUGCCAAUAACUAUUACUUGAACAGGUCUCCAAAAGAUGCGUACAGAUAAAUAUAUUAUUCAUGAAGUGAAGGCAAGAAUAGUUGAAUGGACAAGGGCAGGCUGGUCAAGACUGGAAGCUUUACA
Molecule: long non-coding RNA, 855 nt
Organism: Lactuca sativa (garden lettuce)
Lineage: Eukaryota; Viridiplantae; Streptophyta; Magnoliopsida; Asterales; Asteraceae
Source: RefSeq, a predicted model, not a curated record